Molecule: non-coding RNA, 46 nt
Organism: Schistosoma rodhaini
Lineage: Eukaryota; Metazoa; Platyhelminthes; Trematoda; Strigeidida; Schistosomatidae
Source: Rfam
GCACUGUUGAGGAAUCCCGUAAUAGGACGAAACGGCCGUCCAGUGU